Molecule: long non-coding RNA, 788 nt
Filed under: Canis lupus dingo (dingo)
Lineage: Eukaryota; Metazoa; Chordata; Mammalia; Carnivora; Canidae
Description: lncRNA (ENSCAFG00020002600.1)
Rfam family: WT1 antisense RNA conserved region 1 (bases 60-162)
Source: RNAcentral
UGGGGUGGGGUGGGGUGGGGUGGGGUGGGGGCGGGCCCGAGGGAGCGCACCUCGGGGAGACACCCUCCUCUCCUGCCGGCCUGCGGGACACGGCCCUCCCCCACCUCCCCUGCUCGGCCGUCGCAGGUGUGGGCGCCUCCGGGCCCUGGCUAGCCCGUUCAGGGUCUCUUUUACAUUGGUUAGUUGAGCCAACUCUUUCCAACCUGGACUGCUGACCUGUGACCUCCCAUUAUUCAAACCAAGGCUGACCUAUGUGGGCAUCUGGAGACCCUUGGCCUUGUUGCUUCACUUAUCCGCAUCACCUUCUGAAAUCAAGAUACUUCAUCAAGUCAGUGAAGCUCAGGAUUGACCAACAGAUGCAUGAACAGGAGCUGGAAAAAAUUAUGGAAGAGAGACUGGAAGAGCGAUGGCUGGUGUGCAGAGCCUGCAUCACAUCUCUAUGGGGACUGUGCCAGAAAGCUUGCUGGCUGCAGGAAUGUGCACCCCCAAACAGUGGAUGUCGGGAGCCACCGCAUAAAUGCCCCGACCUUCUGGUUCUCCAGUGGGACGAGUCUGAGGUGUGUCCCGCAUGUUUUCUCAGGGCGUCUCAAGGGAUUAAAUCACAGUUUCCCAUGGUGAUAACCUGCUCCUUAAUAUACCUUAUAUUGGCUUUUCUCCCGUUCUGCCUCACUUUCCCUGCCCGCACUUGUACUUCCUUGAAUGACCUCUCAAAUAAACUUCUUGCACCAAAGUUCUUGUCUCAGGGUUGGAUUUUGGAGGUUCCAGUGGCCAUACUCUCUGACUUCUAG